RNAcentral lists this ribosomal RNA (517 nucleotides) under uncultured Ambispora. RNAcentral's name for it is "SSU rRNA". It matches the Rfam family "Eukaryotic small subunit ribosomal RNA", at positions 569 to 1088 of the family's 1831-position model. The record is from RNAcentral. Lineage: Eukaryota; Fungi; Glomeromycota; Glomeromycetes; Archaeosporales; Ambisporaceae.
AGCAGCCGCGGUAAUUCCAGCUCCAAUAGCGUAUAUUAAAGUUGUUGCAGUUAAAAAGCUCGUAGUUGAAUUUUGGGUCUGGCCGGGCGGUCCGCCCUCUGGGUGAGCACUGUUCCGACGCCGGGCCUAUCCUUCUGGUGAGUCGGCAUGUCCUUUAUUGGGUGUGUCGGGGAACCAGGACCAUUACCUUGAAAAAUUAGAGUGUUCAAAGCAGGCGUAUGCUCGAAUACAUUAGCAUGGAAUAAUGAAAUAGGACGCGUGGUGCUAUUUUGUUGGUUUCUAGAACCGCCGUAAUGAUUAAUAGGGAUAGUUGGGGGCAUUAGUAUUCAAUUGUCAGAGGUGAAAUUCUUGGAUUUAUUGAAGACUAACUUCUGCGAAAGCAUUUGCCAAGGAUGUUUUCAUUAAUCAAGAACGAAAGUUAGGGGAUCGAAGACGAUCAGAUACCGUCGUAGUCUUAACCAUAAACUAUGCCGACUAGGAAUCGGGCGAUGUUAUUCUCAUGACUCGCCCGGCGUCC